UGAGGAAUAUUGGUCAAUGGGCGCGAGCCUGAACCAGCCAAGUAGCGUGCAGGAUGACGGCCCUAUGGGUUGUAAACUGCUUUUGUAUGGGGAUAAAGUCAAUCACGUGUGAUUGUUUGCAGGUACCAUACGAAUAAGGACCGGCUAAUUCCGUGCCAGCAGCCGCGGUAAUACGGAAGGUCCGGGCGUUAUCCGGAUUUAUUGGGUUUAAAGGGAGCGUAGGCCGGAGAUUAAGUGUGUUGUGAAAUGUAGACGCUCAACGUCUGACUUGCAGCGCAUACUGGUUUCCUUGAGUACGCACAACGUUGGCGGAAUUCGUCGUGUAGCGGUGAAAUGCUUAGAUAUGACGAAGAACUCCGAUUGCGAAGGCAGCUGACGGGAGCGCAACUGACGCUUAAGCUCGAAGGUGCGGGUAUCGAACAGGAUUAGAUACCCUGGUAGUCCGCACAGUAACGAUGGAUGCCCGCUGUUGGUACCUGGUAUCAGCGGCUAAGCGAAAGCAUUAAGCAUCCCACCUGGGGAGUACGCCGGNNCGGU
RNAcentral lists this ribosomal RNA (537 nucleotides) under uncultured bacterium. RNAcentral describes it as "bacterial SSU rRNA". It matches the Rfam family "Bacterial small subunit ribosomal RNA", at positions 355 to 895 of the family's 1533-position model. The record is from RNAcentral.